GAGGUGUGCUGUGAGACUUGGAAGAUCAGAAAACUGGAGUAAGGGAGACCCUGCCCCAGCAGGAGAGGGAGACUCCUCCCCCCGUUUAAGGACUGAAGGUACCCCACCCAAGGGGGAAGAGGGAGACAGAUAAGAUGUUCCAAGGAAAGUUAGCAGUAGGAGGAAUUUGGGAAUUUUGUAAAGGCUAGAAGCAGCAGAAAAAAUCCUGUAUAGAUCAGACCUAUCCUAGGAAAAAAAUACCUUCUCCAAAGGGAUUGAGCUUCUCAGUGGAUACACUUCUCGAUUACUCAACUAUUAUGUAGACAUUCAAGACAACGCCUGGAUUUCAAGAACAGUGAAUAUGGGCCACAU
Long non-coding RNA from Mauremys reevesii (Reeves's turtle), 351 nucleotides. RefSeq lists it as uncharacterized. The record is from RefSeq and is a predicted model, not a curated record. Lineage: Eukaryota; Metazoa; Chordata; Testudines; Geoemydidae. The transcript is spliced from 3 exons.